RNAcentral lists this ribosomal RNA (567 nucleotides) under Salmonella enterica. RNAcentral describes it as "partial 23S ribosomal RNA". It matches the Rfam family "Bacterial large subunit ribosomal RNA", at positions 2164 to 2730 of the family's 2925-position model. Lineage: Bacteria; Pseudomonadati; Pseudomonadota; Gammaproteobacteria; Enterobacterales; Enterobacteriaceae. RNAcentral also lists the same sequence under 1 other name. The record is from RNAcentral.
GUGGACGCCAGUCUGCGUGGAGCCGACCUUGAAAUACCACCCUUUAAUGUUUGAUGUUCUAACGUGGACCCGUAAUCCGGGUUGCGGACAGUGUCUGGUGGGUAGUUUGACUGGGGCGGUCUCCUCCUAAAGAGUAACGGAGGAGCACGAAGGUUGGCUAAUCCUGGUCGGACAUCAGGAGGUUAGUGCAAUGGCAUAAGCCAGCUUGACUGCGAGCGUGACGGCGCGAGCAGGUGCGAAAGCAGGUCAUAGUGAUCCGGUGGUUCUGAAUGGAAGGGCCAUCGCUCAACGGAUAAAAGGUACUCCGGGGAUAACAGGCUGAUACCGCCCAAGAGUUCAUAUCGACGGCGGUGUUUGGCACCUCGAUGUCGGCUCAUCACAUCCUGGGGCUGAAGUAGGUCCCAAGGGUAUGGCUGUUCGCCAUUUAAAGUGGUACGCGAGCUGGGUUUAGAACGUCGUGAGACAGUUCGGUCCCUAUCUGCCGUGGGCGCUGGAGAACUGAGGGGGGCUGCUCCUAGUACGAGAGGACCGGAGUGGACGCAUCACUGGUGUUCGGGUUGUCAUGCC